UGUUUAUUUAGUAAAGAGGAGUCGUU
RNAcentral lists this non-coding RNA (26 nucleotides) under Rattus norvegicus (Norway rat). Lineage: Eukaryota; Metazoa; Chordata; Mammalia; Rodentia; Muridae. The record is from RNAcentral.